RNAcentral lists this ribosomal RNA (253 nucleotides) under uncultured bacterium. RNAcentral describes it as "partial 16S ribosomal RNA". It matches the Rfam family "Bacterial small subunit ribosomal RNA", at positions 524 to 776 of the family's 1533-position model. The record is from RNAcentral.
UACGAGGGGGGCAAGCGUUGUUCGGAAUUAUUGGGCGUAAAGGGCGCGUAGGCGGUUUGACAAGUCUUAUGUGAAAUCUCUGGGCUCAACCCAGAGUCUGCAUGGGAAACUGUCGGGCUUGAGUAUGGGAGAGGUGAGUGGAAUUUACGGUGUAGCGGUGAAAUGCGUAGAUAUCGUAAGGAAGACCAGUGGCGAAGGCGGGUCUCUGGACAGUUCCUGACGCUGAGGCACGAAGGUCAGGGGAGCAAACGGG